This is a non-coding RNA of Podarcis lilfordi (Lilford's wall lizard), 6553 nucleotides long. Lineage: Eukaryota; Metazoa; Chordata; Lepidosauria; Squamata; Lacertidae. The record is from the annotation of a GenBank genome assembly.
GGUGUCAAUGUGCAAAUGGUAAGCCUAUUUACUUGAUAGCACUCCAAUUUUUAUAAGCUGUUUUAUUUUCCCUCCAGAUAGUUUGUUAAGAAGGAAGGAUUUACGAUUUAGCUGAAGCUGAAAUUUCUCAUUGUCCAUCAGCCCACAGAUUGUUAAUAGCUAGCUUUCAAAUUACACCGGAUAGGGACACAUUUUUUCCCCCUAUGAUGCGCAUCAUAUACCUGGGCUUUGUGUUUGCACUUGAUAAAGCCGUGGCCAAGAAUGAAUGUAUUCAUAAAAUUGUCUAUGCAAAAUACACAACAGAUAUAAGAUAGAGCUAUCUUUCAUAUACCGAUAUAUAUAUAUAGAGAGAGAGAGAGAGAGAGAGAGCUUGGCCAAAAAUAUUUCAUAAAUUAAUUCUAUCAGCAGAACUGAUUGAUCUCAUGCUGAUUUUUUAAUAUAUAUAUAUUUCAGAACAGUAAAUGGGAAACCAGAAAUAGUAUUUGCUCCCACUCCCCCUGUGUCUUAACACAUACUUGCACAACCUACUGGCAGAAGAUAAUGGAUUAUGAUCACUUCAACUCCAUAGUUAAUAUUAAACGUGAGAUUAUCGAAGUAGUGCUGCAUUUUAUAAUCUCUCGUGUGGAAAUGUUAUGCAAAUUAUUUGUAAAUGUGCUAGCCUCGGGAGCAAGACCAGCUCCUAUGGCAAAGGUAUCCUCAGUAAUUUAUGUCUCAAAAGUUUAACUGGGUAGAAGUUCUUUCUACAUUGUGCUGGAAAUGGAAAGAGCACCAUCUUGUGGGCAUGAGGAUGCAUUUACAGGAAAUUUCUUAGAGUGCACAGCACUGCAAAAAGCACUAUAAGGAACUGAGUUGGAGUAUAGAAUAUAAUUGCAGCAGUUGAUGCCACUACAGCUUCUUCCAUGUUUAUGGAAUCUUCUCACAACCUCCAGCAGUACUUCAGUGAUGCCAAAGUUCUCACACCAACUCUCUUUCCUGCACCACUCACAUAAUGUCAGAAUCGCAAGGCCAUGUUUAACAAUCAGGUGACACAGACACUAUUGAUGAUGGUGUCUCACAUCCCAGAAGCUGGGGCAACCCACCAUGAGAAGCAGUUCCAUAGUGGAUUCUAUCCACAAAACCCUGAAUGCAACUAAUGUGUCCUUGUAGCACAAUGAUUUCUAUUUGCACAGUGGGAUUUUCUCCAUCUCUCCUCCCAGCCCAUGCUUCCCACAAAUCUGCUCCAGAGGGUUGGAAGAACCCAGAGAACAUAUGUAGGGGGGAAAGAGGUGGAGUGGGACUCCUAAUACACAAGCAGAAAUCCUUGAGUUGAAGGAACCACAAUUUAGAGCAAAUUUGGAUAAACCUAGCAUGCCAGGUUUAAGCUGAGGCUCCAAUACUUUGGCCACCUCAUGAGAAGAGAAGACUCCCUGGAAAAGACCCUGAUGUUGGGAAAGAUGGAGGGCACAAGGAGAAGGGGAUUACAGAGGAUGAGAUGGUUGGAUAGUGUUCUCGAAGCUACUAGCAUGAUUUUGGCCAAACUGCGGGAGGCAGUGGAAGAUAGAAGUGCCUGGUGUGCUCUGGUCCAUGGGGUCACGAAGAGUCGGACACGACUAAACAACUAAACAACAACAACAAGAACAUGCCAGAAUUCACAGUUGGGCAGAUCCUUCAUUAGGGCCAACCAAAAAUGUCCCCAAAUAAUGGGCAAGCACAAUGAUUGGGUUCUGUCUGAAAGCCCAGUUGGGGUCUGAAGCACAAUAGAAUAUCCCCGAAUGGCAGAGAUGCUGACUUGGGCCCCAGGUUACAGGUGCCCAGCGCCUGUGCUGUGAUGUCAUGACUUCAAGUUGCAACAUGGCGUCACGACGUCACAUGCCUGGAAGCCUCGGAAGCUGACUUCCGGUGCCACCAGAAGUCAGGUUCUAAGGUCUUGCAAGGUCUUAGAGAGCAUCUCUGAGGUCUCACAAGGCCUUGGACGUGACUUCCAGUGCUUUGUGAAGGCACUGGAAGUUGCACCAGGGGCCCUUGUGGGUGCUGAGCACCCACAACUUUUUUUGUGGGUGCUUGGGCCCCCAGGGCUCCCUAUAGUUGGUGCCCCUGCUGAAUGGCAUCCUGGUGGGAUUCCACCAAGAGAUCUGAAUCAAUGGGGUUAUUAUUUUGUCAGGAUCAACCCUGAUGGAGAUAUCAGCCAGUAAGAGGGUUGACUCAUCCAGGGCACAAACCCAGUGCCUGUGCCCAAAUCCAUCUUAUAUCCGUAAUCUUACUGCAGCCAUUUGGACCACACUGUCAUUUUCAUUGCCUCUGUGGCCACCAAAUAUUGUCAAAUGCCAAACAAGUACCAUUCCACAUCAGCUUUCAUAUGCUGUCUAAAUAUUAUGUCAAGUCAAUUAUCAAAAAACUGUUAAGUGUCAAAUAUUGAAAGCAUAUAUCAAAGUAAAAUCUCAAAUAUUUAAAUCAAGUAUCAUUGGAUGCCAGUAUUCAGAGAAUAUCCAGUAAGCAGUUGGCAGAGGAUCAAAUUUUGCAAGCAUCAUAUAUAUUUUAUUCAUUUCGUUCUAUUUUUUCCAGUUCUGCUACUGACGUCUGACUACAUUAUUAUGAAAGACAAAUCACAGCCAAAAGUAAUUUGAAAUUGCAGUCAUGGCCUACCAAAUGAUCAAUCUAGACAUUUUUUAAAAAAUAAAAUAAAAAUAUUAAUUUCUAGACAGGUUUCUGUGUAAACAUGAAGUUAAAGGUACAAGUCUGAUUUUUAAAGGCAGGUAGUAGAAUCACAGAUGAUAGCAUUUUGAUGAAAAACUAAUCAGUGUUUCACUUCAAUAAAUUGCUCUCUUUGAUAAAUAUACAACUUUGCACCUUUUUUUACACUGUGGCAGAAUUUCAAUUGACUUUGCUUUAUUUGCUAAUUCGCAACUUGUAAUUCAUCAUUGAAUUACAUAGUUGUUUAUUAAGAAAUGUAGCCCUCAGGCUGAAAGAGGAUCUUGUUUUUUAGUUUUUUAUUUAUACUUUUCAAUUUUAUACAUUUCAUUAAUUUUACAAUCCAUUUAACAUUUCAAAAUUUGACUUCCUUCCCCCUCUUUCUGCAGUUCCUUAAAUUUAUUUUUUCAUACCUUUUGCAUAUCCAAAUUCAUUUAACUUGCUCAUUUAAUUUCUACUGUAAAUAUAUACUCUUUACAAAACUGCCGGUUGUUACAAUAAUCCUGCUAAUGUUUUUAUCUGCUUACAAUUUAUCUGUAAAUAUUCAAUAAACCAUUUCCAUUCUUUCAGCAACAUAUUAUAAGAAGUUGCAGGGUUAUCUUAGACAAUCAUUAAAGGGCAUUAUGAAUAUGGUUUUAAAUACAGGUGAGCUGCCAGAAUCAUGGAAGGAAGAGGAUCCCCGUUGUAAAAGAAAUGCCAACUUUCCCUCCCUAACAGAGAAGGUACGGAACAGCAUCAGAACGUGAUGAUGAAAUGAUUUGGGUCAGAGGAGUCGUCAUUUGAAUCUCAGCCAGCCAAAAGGUGGGUUUUUUUAAAAAAAAAUUAAAACAGGUAUUCAAAGUGUUCACCGUAAAACAAAAAGCAUAUUCUCAGAGAGAGGUUGAUUUGUCUGAGAAAGUGUUAGAUCAUUUAUCACAGGGAUGCCUGCUUUGUGCGAUGAACCAAGGAACCAUUCGGGAAUAUAAUUUCAACCAAAGAGAGAGCACCUGCAACUUGCAAGUUGAAGAAAAACCAAUAACAUUUAACAGGUGGACAAUUGCUUUUCAAAGACAUUUAACACUAUAGCAAGAAGAGAUCCAGAAAUCUGUCUCAGCUUUGAAGCAGAAGACAUUUUCCCUACUUUGUCAAAGCGCCAUCACUUGCUUUUUUAAGUCUUUCAGAUGAGUGUGUCGCUCCUUGAAAGCCUAUUUGCUAUAUUGAAAAAGUCCUAGUCUACAUUCUACCCUACACAGAGUUCACUCGGUAACAUAGCAUUGCUUUUGUUUGCAGGGCUGCUAAGAAAGGAUGUUGCAUUUGUAGAUUUAGAGAAGGGUGUGUGUGUGUGUGUGUGUGUGUGUGUGUGUGUGUGUUUGUGUGUUUAUUGCCGGGACUUUAAAAAGCAGCAACUGCACCUUUCACUUCCAAUUCCAAUGUAAACUGAUAAUCUUUUUAGGCCAAAAUUAGAGCAGAAAACAACUACAGUGGAUCUCAGAGCAACUGAGCAUCAGUAAAAACCCACAUCGCUAAGACGUCCAGGAACCUCACCAAAAUGCUGGAGAGGGUGCACCUCCACAGGCACAUACCUCCACAUGUGGUGGGAGUGCCCCAAAAUCCAACUAUUCUGGACAACAACCAUACGAGAAAUAAGUAAAAUAACCAAGCAAGUAUUAGAAAUCACCCCAGAAUUGGCCUUACUAAACAUCUUCCAAGACAACAAUGCCCACUUACACCACAAAGAACUCAUAACCCACCUACUUUGAGCAGCCAGAAGCAUCAUAGCCAGACACCGGAGAGACCUGUCAGGAGUAAGCAUGUACCAAUGGUACCAAAUAGUAUAUGGGAAACAGCCCUACUAGAAAAAUUAACCAAUAAACUGAAACUGAAACAGGGGCAAAUAGAAGAAGACACCUUCACCCCAGUAUGGCUCCCCUUUAUCACAUACACAGUCCAACAAGACAACGACAAAAAUCCACCAACGGCAUACAAAUCAAUAUGGCUAACCUGAUCCAAAACACCCAACCCACCCCACUCGCACAUGAAAACAAAGACCAACACAGCCAACCACAAAUGAAUUACCACACCCUAGACCAACCCCAACCUCUCUCACCACCAAAGGAACACAAGUGAACAGCAAAGAACCUGCACAAGCAAUGUUGACACCAAACCCUCCUAAUGUCUCAACAAAUGAAACUGAUUUGUAAAAAUGUUACAUGUGGAAAAAAAUACGAGAGAAAGACACUGCAAACACUUUUGUAAAUCAAGAAAAUCUAUAAUAAUAAUAAUAAUAAUAAUAAUAAUAAUAAUAAUAAUAAUGUAAAACCCACAUCGGCAUGCUAGUUCUUUGUCUACCAAGCUCAGACACACAGGCAAUACCCUAUAGCUUGUCUCAGUGAUAUGACUAGCCUGGGCACAGGUCACCAUGUGACUGAGCCUCAGGUAGGGAUAUAAGGAGGCACUGAUUUCUAUUUCAUCCUGUGCACAUCACAAGCAGCACAGUUUCCAUUCAGCUCCCUUUGCCUUCUCCUAAAUCCUCUGUCAUUUGUCUCGUUAUCUGCUGUGGCUGAAGCUAAGGUCAUGAAUUGUGCAAUUAAUUACGUAAUUGAUGUAACACAUUUCAGUGGAAGGGAAAUGUAUCUACAAAUACAUUUCAGGAUUUUUGUAAAAUCGUUAUUAGAAACGCAGGCUUACGGUUGCAAUACUCUACAUACCAAGAAAAGUCUUGUUGGUCUUAAUUCUGAGUAGACAUGUAUUUUGUUGGGCUUUUGUUUCCAUCAGCAAGAGCCAGCAUGGUCAGUAAUCAGGCAUGUAAAGUAAAGGUAAAGGACCUGUGGAUGGUCAUGUCCAGUCAAAGGCAACUAUAGGGUUGCAGCGCUCAUCUCGCUUUCAGGCCUAGGGAGCCAGCGUUUGUCCACAGACAGCUUUCCGGGUCAUGUGUCCAGCAUGACUAAACCACUUCUGGCACAACGGGUCACCGUGAUGGAAGCCAGAGCGCACAGGAACACCAUUUACCUUCCCACCACAGUGGUACCUAUUUAACUACUUGCACUGGUAUGCUUUCAAACUGCUAGGUUGGCAGGAGCUGGGACAGAGCAACGGGAGCUCGCUCCGUCGCAGGGAUUCGAACCGCCGACCUUCUGAUUGGCAAGCCCAAGAGGCUCAGUGGUUUAGACCACAGCGCCACCCGUGUGAUUGGUCAGUAAUCAGACAUGAUGUUGAUCGUGCAACACAAGCUCAACGGAUAGCUCAGUUAGUUAGAGCGCGGUGCUGAUAAUGCCAAGGAUAUAGGUUCAAUCCCCGUAUGGGACAGCUGCAUAUUCCUGCAUUUGCAGGGGGAUGAAUGAGAUGAUCAUCAGUAUCCCUUCCAAAUCUACAGUUCUAUGAUGUAUGUUUAAGCCUGAAAUAGGUAUUUAAAUAUGUAUUUUUUAAGUAUGAUUCUAUGAUUUUUUGAUCCCUGACCUAUAAUCUCAGGAGAGGUGUGCCUCCUUCUCUCAUAAAUAGGAAAUAUUACUUCUAAGGUGGUUCCUACACAUUUUUCAUUUAAUAAUAAUAAUAAUAAUAAUAGAAAAUACCAUUUCCUUCAGAAUGAGGAUUUGGUUCAUAUGAACAUUUUAGCAGAUACAAUUUGAUUAAUUAGUCAAAUAACACUCCUUAGCUGGGAGACAGCCUUACUUAUUGUAAAGCGCUGCUCACUGCUUCUCUCUCAUUUUUUCUCUCUUCAGAGUCUGCCCGUAUGUAUGAAUAGUGUUGAUUAGAAUUGAUUUCCUGCCAAAUGUGAUGCCUUCCAUGAAGAAGAACUUGUGUAUUCAAGAAAUACCCUCCACUGGUUUUGCAAGUCUUGAUGCGCAGGCAGAUGAGCUUGGAAUUUCAAAAGGUAAAAAAAAGUCAUAAACCCCAAGAGACAAGCAGG